CGUUUAGCCCGCGUGGCGCAGUUGGUAAGACUGUUACCCAAGGUAGCACUGUUAGAUGUGCUGUAGGUUCGAAUCCUGCUGCUGACAAGGUCCCAUUUUGGGCCACUUCUUACCCAUGAAGGCCCCCGUGACCAGGGGCCAAGCCUAGUGAGGCAGUGCUGACAGGGGUGCUGCUUGGCAGUGGUGAGGGUGGUGGCUGCUGGAAGCCAUGCUCAUUAGUGCCAAGCAGCCCCUCUGCCACUAGUGCUGAUCUAAGCAAGAUCCAAUGAUUACAGAGGGUUGAGUAUAGGGUGCUUAUACAUACUAGCACCUGCCAAGGCCCCCGGCAUCUAGGGGGCCACUCCAACAACAGGGAAUGAUUUUAAAAACCAUCCAAUUGGCUGCCUCAUCAGAGGGGUAGUAGCAAGCCAAGCAGGACACCCUGGUAGGCGCCCUAUUCAGAGCCCACUAGUGGUCAUCUAACACUAUUAGUGGGUUAUCAUCGGGUGGGGUAAGCCUAUGGUUAGUCCCUUACAUGGGGCAAGGCCACGACGGCUGGUUGGUAGGCCAAGGGGGCAAUGGGC
This 563-nucleotide small RNA is filed under the name Histoplasma ohiense. RNAcentral describes it as "hypothetical lncRNA". The record is from RNAcentral. Lineage: Eukaryota; Fungi; Ascomycota; Eurotiomycetes; Onygenales; Ajellomycetaceae.